RNAcentral lists this ribosomal RNA (443 nucleotides) under uncultured Thiobacillus sp. RNAcentral describes it as "bacterial SSU rRNA". It matches the Rfam family "Bacterial small subunit ribosomal RNA", at positions 934 to 1382 of the family's 1533-position model. The record is from RNAcentral. Lineage: Bacteria; Pseudomonadati; Pseudomonadota; Betaproteobacteria; Nitrosomonadales; Thiobacillaceae.
GGAUGAUGUGGAUAAUUCGAUGCAACGCGAAGAACCUUACCUACCCUUGACAUGUCCGGAACUUGCCAGAGAUGGCUUGGUGCCCGAAAGGGAAUCGGAACACAGGUGCUGCAUGGCUGUCGUCAGCUCGUGUCGUGAGAUGUUGGGUUAAGUCCCGCAACGAGCGCAACCCUUAUCAUUAGUUGCUACGCAAGGGCACUCUAAUGAGACUGCCGGUGACAAACCGGAGGAAGGUGGGGAUGACGUCAAGUCCUCAUGGCCCUUAUGGGUAGGGCUUCACACGUCAUACAAUGGUCGGUACAGAGGGUUGCCAAGCCGCGAGGCGGAGCCAAUCCCACAAAGCCGAUCGUAGUCCGGAUUGUUCUCUGCAACUCGAGAGCAUGAAGUCGGAAUCGCUAGUAAUCGCAGGUCAGCAUACUGCGGUGAAUACGUCCCCGGGUCUU